AUUGAACGCUGGCGGCAUGCCUUACACAUGCAAGUCGAACGGCAGCACGGGAGCAAUCCUGGUGGCGAGUGGCGAACGGGUGAGUAAUAUAUCGGAACGUGCCCAGUCGUGGGGGAUAACGCAGCGAAAGCUGUGCUAAUACCGCAUACGAUCUCUGGAUGAAAGCGGGGGACCGUAAGGCCUCGCGCGAUUGGAGCGGCCGAUAUCAGAUUAGCUCGUUGGUGGGGUAAAGGCCCACCAAGGCGACGAUCUGUAGCUGGUCUGAGAGGACGACCAGCCACACUGGAACUGUGACACGGUCCAGACUCCUACGGGAGGCAGCAGUGGGGAAUGUUGGACAAUGGGCGCAAGCCUGAUCCAGCAAUGCCGCGUGCAGGAUGAAGGCCUUCGGGUUGUAAACUGCUUUUGUACGGAACGAAACGGCGAGCUCUAAUAAAGUUUGCUAAUGACGGUACCGUAAGAAUAAGCACCGGCUAACUACGUGCCAGCCGCCGCAGUAA
RNAcentral lists this ribosomal RNA (500 nucleotides) under uncultured bacterium. RNAcentral describes it as "partial 16S ribosomal RNA". It matches the Rfam family "Bacterial small subunit ribosomal RNA", at positions 30 to 523 of the family's 1533-position model. The record is from RNAcentral.